RNAcentral lists this ribosomal RNA (551 nucleotides) under uncultured bacterium. RNAcentral's name for it is "bacterial SSU rRNA". It matches the Rfam family "Bacterial small subunit ribosomal RNA", at positions 353 to 896 of the family's 1533-position model. The record is from RNAcentral.
AGUGGGGAAUAUUGCACAAUGGGCGCAAGCCUGAUGCAGCCAUGCCGCGUGUAUGAAGAAGGCCUUCGGGUUGUAAAGUACUUUCAGCAGUGAGGAAGGAGGUGUCGUUAAUAGCGGUAUCUUUUGACGUUAGCUGCAGAAGAAGCACCGGCUAACUCCGUGCCAGCAGCCGCGGUAAUACGGAGGGUGCGAGCGUUAAUCGGAAUUACUGGGCGUAAAGCGCAUGCAGGUGGUUUGUUAAGUCAGAUGUGAAAGCCCGGGGCUCAACCUCGGAAUUGCAUUUGAAACUGGCAGGCUAGAGUACUGUAGAGGGGGGUAGAAUUUCAGGUGUAGCGGUGAAAUGCGUAGAGAUCUGAAGGAAUACCGGUGGCGAAGGCGGCCCCCUGGACAGAUACUGACACUCAGAUGCGAAAGCGUGGGGAGCAAACAGGAUUAGAUACCCUGGUAGUCCACGCCGUAAACGAUGUCUACUUGGAGGUUGUGGCCUUGAGCCGUGGCUUUCGGAGCUAACGCGUUAAGUAGACCGCCUGGGGAGUACGGUCGCAAGAUUA